Molecule: non-coding RNA, 5185 nt
Organism: Sus scrofa (pig)
Lineage: Eukaryota; Metazoa; Chordata; Mammalia; Artiodactyla; Suidae
Source: RefSeq, a predicted model, not a curated record
UAGGGGAAGUGACGUCACAGCGCGAUGGCGGCGGCUCCUUCAGGCCCCUGAAGGGGGAUUUAGGCCCGGGAGAUCCGAGUCCAUCCGCGGCGGGGAGAGGGCGAACGGGGUUGGCGGAGGCCGGAGCAGGGGCGGCGGCGCCCGGACUGUCCCAUCCGCCCCGUAUUGAGGCGCUGGGAGCGGCAGGGCGGCCGGAAAGCGAUGGUGAAAGCGGGGCCGUGAGGGGGGCGGAGCCGGCAGCCGGACCCGCAGUAGCGGCAGCAGCGGCGCCGCCUCCCCGAGCUCAGACCCAGGAAGCGGCCGGGAGGGCAGGAGCGAGCCGGGCCGCCGCCGCCAUGGAGCUCAGAGUGGGGAACAGGUACCGGCUGGGCCGGAAGAUCGGCAGCGGGUCCUUCGGAGACAUCUAUCUCGGUACGGACAUUGCUGCGGGAGAAGAAGUUGCCAUCAAGCUUGAAUGUGUCAAAACUAAGCACCCUCAGCUCCACAUCGAGAGCAAAAUCUACAAGAUGAUGCAGGGAGGAGUGGGCAUCCCCACCAUCCGGUGGUGUGGGGCCGAGGGCGACUACAACGUCAUGGUCAUGGAGCUGCUGGGGCCCAGCCUGGAGGACCUCUUCAACUUCUGCUCCAGGAAGUUCAGCCUCAAGACCGUCCUGCUGCUCGCUGACCAGAUGAUCAGCCGCAUCGAGUACAUCCACUCGAAGAACUUCAUCCACCGGGACGUGAAGCCGGACAACUUCCUCAUGGGGCUGGGCAAGAAGGGCAACCUGGUGUACAUCAUCGACUUCGGGCUGGCCAAGAAGUACCGGGACGCCCGCACCCACCAGCACAUCCCCUACCGCGAGAACAAGAACCUCACCGGCACCGCGCGCUACGCCUCCAUCAACACGCACCUCGGCAUCGAACAAUCUCGGAGGGACGACCUGGAAUCUCUGGGCUACGUGCUCAUGUACUUCAACCUGGGCUCGCUGCCCUGGCAGGGCCUGAAGGCGGCCACCAAGCGCCAGAAGUACGAGCGCAUCAGCGAGAAGAAGAUGUCCACGCCCAUCGAGGUGCUCUGCAAAGGCUACCCCUCCGAGUUCGCCACGUACCUGAACUUCUGCCGUUCCCUGCGCUUUGAUGACAAGCCUGACUACUCGUACCUGAGGCAGCUCUUCAGGAACCUGUUCCACCGCCAGGGCUUCUCCUACGACUACGUCUUUGACUGGAACAUGCUCAAGUUUGGAGCCAGCCGGGCAGCCGACGACGCCGAGCGGGAGCGCCGGGACCGAGAGGAGCGGCUGAGACACUCCCGCAACCCAGCCACCCGCGGCCUCCCCUCCACGGCCUCAGGCCGGCUGAGGGGGACCCAGGAGGCGGCCCCUCCCACCCCCCUCACCCCUACCUCACACACGGCGAACACCUCUCCUCGGCCCGUGUCCGGCAUGGAAAGAGAGCGGAAAGUGAGUAUGCGGCUGCACCGCGGGGCCCCCGUCAACAUCUCCUCGUCCGACCUCACGGGCCGGCAAGAUACCUCCCGCAUGUCCACCUCACAGGUACGCGCCCGGCCGCCACCGGGCCCUGCGCUCCGCAGCCGCGUUGCGCGCCGGUCCUGCGGCCCCCGCAGUGGGCGACGGCCUCGGAGGCUUCCUGCUUUCCAUCCUUCUCGCUCUCCCUCUUCGGAGCGUCUGAACUGCCGGGGACCUCGUGUCCCUCGCUACCGUGGGGCCCUCGGUUGAGGGCCCCAGGGACGAGCUCUGGGGCCAGGCUGCGCCCUGGCUGUGCUGGGACGCCCGCUGGCGCCUCUUCUCUUGCGCCGUCUUCCCUGGGCGGACGCCCCCAGCCUGUGGGCGCCUGGUGUUGCAGCGCGCCUGGCCCAGCCUUCGAGCCUCUGUCCUCGCUCUUGUCAGCCGGGCGCUCCACCCCCGCGGAGAGCCCUUGUCGCCCGCCGGCAGUCACUGUAGGGCGUCCUAGGCGCCCGGCGCCAUGUCUUCUCUAGCCACGCCCUGUGCCCACUCGCUCUGCUCGCUGUCCCUGCCCAGCAGCGCCACUCCUCGCCUGCGUGCUGGCAGGUCUUCUGCGCGUGGGUGGCAGGAGGCGGGCAGGGUGAAGAAUGGUCCAGGUGGGCCUCUUCUCUGCUUCAGCCAGUGUCCCGUGGGGCCGGGGUCACCCCAUGCUGUCUGCUGGGGGUAGCUUGUCGGUGAAUUUGGCGGGUUGAGCGUGUUGAUCUGGAGGCACAGGGCCUGUGCGAAGUGCCCAGAGCCUGGUUCUGCAGCGCCGGCUGGCCAGGCAAAGGGCGGGUGUGCCCAGCAGAGGAGGUGCCCCGACCACGUUUUCUUAACUGCGUGAAGUAAACAGGGCACCUGUCGCUUGCUGGCACUUCUACUGGAAACGGGCUGCUGUUCGCCCAUUAAGCUUCUCUCUGGCUGGAGACGCAGCUGGUCGGAAUCAUGGGGCACAGAGGCUCUGGUCAGGGGUUCGAGAUCGGCCCCAUGCGGCUCCCGGCCCCCAGCCAUCCUGCCUCCCUCGGGACACAGAAAGGGCCUCCGGGUGUGUUCCCACGAGCCCUGGAAUGCACGCCUCAGUGGCCUGGCACGGGCCCAGAGCGCCUCGGCUGGGACGAAGGAGGGCAGGCCUCGCUUUGGCUUUAACACAAGGAAGGAUCAGGAAGCGCCAGGGGUUCAGGGGCGCCAGCGCCUCGGGUCUGCGACCACCUCUGCCGCCGGCUCCUUGGGCUUUGCUGCCCAGUCUCCCCGUGAGGGCCUGCCUCUGCUCUCUGUUCUCUCUCUGCUUUCCUACCAAGACGUGUGCCGUGGCUCUGAGGAUGGGGCGCCUCCACUUUGUCCCUCUUCCCCCCGGGGUCUCCUUAGGACCUCUGCGUUGAGGGCACAGCCCCAGUCCCCUCCAUCCAGGACGGCUCUAUCCCUUGGCACUCUUGCUGGCAGGCGCCGUUCCUGGCCGCCAAGGGCCUCCAUGAUCAGGGCUGUUCCAGGCUCGGUCUGGCUUCUUCCCCCAGAGAUGCGAGCGGAGCAGGGGUGGUGACACAGGGGUGCAGGGUCGCAGUGGGCUGGGGUGGCCACUUCCCUAGCCGCCUCUGCCCCUUAGGGAGGAGGCCUGCUGAUCUCAGCUGGGGGCGGGGGGACGUUGGCCUGUGUCCCUGGUCGUGGCUGGAGUGCCGCGGAGACGGCGGAGGGCUGCUGGCGGACGAGCCUGGCGGUGGCGUUUCUCUGAGAAGUGCCCCCUCCGUCCAGUGCUGUCGAGGGACACGAUCCCGGCUCCUGGUGCCAGGGACUGACUUGUGCGAAUCCCUGCCUCCCCUGCCCCCCCGAGGCCCGGAGCCCGGUCUUCUUCCCCGCGUCCAGCCCUCGCGCGCCUGGGCCUCGGGGAGCCGUGGGUGUGAGAGCCGAUGGAGGGGCCGCCGUCGAGGGUCCCGUCCUCUUACAGCCUGAGCCCUGGGGGCGGGCUCCGUGUCGGCAGGUCCAGGGACCACUCUUGAGAGGCCGCUCCGCGGGGAGAGGCCCGGCCGGGGGCCUGGUUCGCGCAGGCAGCGCUGGUGCAGGAGGAAGGAGGAGGGGCCUCCGUGCUGGUCCCGCCGCGAACCCUCCCCAACAGCUGUCUUUUCCCCCCACCUCAGAAUAGCAUUCCUUUCGAACACCACGGCAAGUAGCUGCACGGCUCCCGUCGGAAGGCAGCGCUGGAUUGCCGGUCGGGUGGCUGCCAGCGGUCUCCAGUCCGCCGUGCACCGGUGAGAGCGCUCCUUUGGCUGAGGGCAGACAUGCAUGGCCGACCUACUCUGUUAUAGUGACACGCCCCGGUCUAGAACCGAACCGUUACCACCGGGAGCUCUCCAGGCCACCCACCCAGCGACGCCCACGGGGAAACAAACACAAACCCAACCGGACAGACUGCACGCGCUGCCAUCGCCAGGGGCUGCGCCGAGGCCCCGCGAGCUCGGUGGCAGCGGGGCUGGGAAGAAGAGAGACGAGCGCAGAGAGAAUCAGACUCCCAUCCAAGAGCCUCUUGGUCCGGUCCCUCGGGUGGCGGCGCGCCCGUGCCCCUGCCGAGUCUGCCGUAACCACCGACCUUCUACUCGGCUAAGACAGUUUUGUAUCAUUUUGCUAAAAAUUAUUGGCUUAAAUCUGUGUAAAGAAACCUGUCUUUUUAUUGUUUCUUUCCUGUCUGUUUUGCUGUCUGUAAAGAAAUCCGAAGCAGACGCUGGCGUGGAGUCUGGGAGGGCAGGCCGGGCGCGGAGGAGCCCACGGGGCCUCCCGGUCUGUGUCUCGUGCUGUCUUGUGCGGGCCGCUUGGGAGCCUGGCACGUGUAUACGCGUGUGUAAGUAACGUGUGUGUCCGUGUGUGCCUGUGUCUCGUGACCUCCCUGACCCUCCCUGCCAUCCCCGUGGACUGAAGCGCCUGCUCACAGUGGACCCGCUGGGCACUCGAGUCGUCAGAGCGAUUGGACAGUGCCGGCGACAGCGCGGGCGCAGCAGGUGCCUCCCGAUUGAGCAGCCACGGCGAGGAGGAAGCUGAGCCUGGAGACGUGGGGCCCUCCUGGGGGCGGGGUGCUUGUUUCAGUGGCGGGUGCCUCCGCGCCUUCGCGUCUGGGAGGUUCUCUAAACAGACUGUCGGCGUUAAUAGCGCAGACUGGUCUUCCGUCCGUGUUAGCAUCCGGAUGAAUGGCCAAGGGCUGUGGCGUCCGCCCCGGAUGCCAGCUUUGCCCAGGCCCAGGCAGGCCGGCGCACCCAGGGGGAUCGGCUCUGAAGUGCCGCGAAGCAGGGGACUCUUGACAGCCUGACCACCCAGCAGGGCGAGGGUCUGGAUGGGGGUGGGGGCCUGGGCAGCCAGGGGCCUGAAAGGCGUCCGUGUCCUGGGACACCCUGACUGCCGAGUGGCCGGCCCGGAGCACAGCCGUUUGCGUCUUUCCGAAUCCCGAGCCGGCUGCUCCGUGUGUUGGGGCGCGGGCACUCGGCCGCGUGGGCUGAGACCCAGGAGGGUCAGCGCGAGCUGCCCAGUGCCUUGCGCAGAGGGCGCCUGCCUUCCCGGGGAGGCAUUGGCAGCUGCGGCCCUCGCCCCGCGCCGCGGCUGCAACGUCUGCAUCGCCUGUGUGCCGGCGGCCGGUCCCUGCGCUGCGCUUCUGUUGGAUCACUGUACCCGUGUCCACCCUCCGUGUAAAUAAUAAACUCGUGACCACUUCCACCUCUGCUCCCUGA